AUGAACGCUGGCGGCGUGCCUCAUCCCUGCAAGUCGAGCGAACAGACGAGGAGCUUGCUCCUCUGACGUUAGCGGCGGACGGGUGAGUAACACGUGGAUAACCUACCUAUAAGACUGGGAUAACUUCGGGAAACCGGAGCUAAUACCGGAUAAUAUAUUGAACCGCAUGGUUCAAUAGUGAAAGACGGUUUUGCUGUCACUUAUAGAUGGAUCCGCGCCGCAUUAGCUAGUUGGUAAGGUAACGGCUUACCAAGGCAACGAUGCGUAGCCGACCUGUGAGGUUGAUCGGCCACUCUGGAGCUGAGACACUUUCCAGACUCCUACGGGAGGCAGCAGUAGCGAAUCUUCCGAAAUGGGCGAAAGCUUGACGGAGCAACGCGGCGCUGGUGAUGAAGCUCUUCGGAUCGUAAAACGCUGUUAUUAGGGAAGAACAAAUGUGUAAGUAACGCUGCACUUCUUGACGGUACCUAACCAGAAAGCCACGGCUAACUACGU
Molecule: ribosomal RNA, 495 nt
Filed under: uncultured bacterium
Lineage: Bacteria
Description: partial 16S ribosomal RNA
Rfam family: Bacterial small subunit ribosomal RNA
Source: RNAcentral